Molecule: ribosomal RNA, 523 nt
Filed under: Trichormus variabilis 9RC
Lineage: Bacteria; Bacillati; Cyanobacteriota; Cyanophyceae; Nostocales; Nostocaceae
Description: partial 23S ribosomal RNA
Rfam family: Bacterial large subunit ribosomal RNA
Source: RNAcentral
GAGUAGUGGCGAGCGAAAUUGGAUCAGCCUGUACGAUUUAGCAUUUGAGUUAACAAAACGGUCUUGAAAGUCCGGCCAUAGAAGGUGAUAGCCCUGUAUGUGAAAACUCGAUUGUGGAACUAGGCGUACGACAAGUAGGGCGGGGCACGAGAAACCCUGUCUGAACGUAGGGGGACCACCCUCUAAGCCUAAGUACUCAUGACUGACCGAUAGUGAACUAGUACCGUGAGGGAAAGGCGAAAAGAACCCCGGGAGGGGAGUGAAACAGUACCUGAAACCGAACGCCUACAAGCAGUUGGAGGGUCCUUGAGACCUGACAGCGUACCUCUUGCAUAAUGGGUCAGUGACUUAGUGUAACAAGCAAGCUUAAGCCGUUAGGUGUAGGCGCAGCGAAAGCGAGUCUGAAUAGGGCGUUGAGUAUUUGGUCGUAGACCCGAAACCAGGUGAUCUACCCUUGGUCAGGUUGAAGUUCAGGUAACACUGAAUGGAGGACCGAACCGACUUACGUUGAAAAGUGAGCGGA